Molecule: ribosomal RNA, 255 nt
Filed under: uncultured bacterium
Lineage: Bacteria
Description: partial 16S ribosomal RNA
Rfam family: Bacterial small subunit ribosomal RNA
Source: RNAcentral
UACGGGGGGGGGCAAGCGUUGUUCGGAAUUACUGGGCGUAAAGGGCUCGUAGGCGGCCAACUAAGUCCGACGUGAAAUCCCCAGGCUUAACCUGGGAACUGCGUCGGAUACUGGUUGGCUUGAAUCCGGGAGAGGGAUGCGGAAUUCCAGGUGUAGCGGUGAAAUGCGUAGAUAUCUGGAGGAACACCGGUGGCGAAGGCGGCAUCCUGGACCGAGAUUGACGCUGAUGCGCGAAAGCCAGGGGAGCAAACGGGG